Molecule: ribosomal RNA, 252 nt
Filed under: uncultured bacterium
Lineage: Bacteria
Description: partial 16S ribosomal RNA
Rfam family: Archaeal small subunit ribosomal RNA
Source: RNAcentral
UACAGCACCCCGAGUGGUCGGGACGAUUAUUGGGCCUAAAGCAUCCGUAGCCGGCCUUACAAGUCCUCCGUUAAAUCCAGCUGCUUAACAGAUGGGCUGCGGAGGAUACUAUAAGACUAGGAGGCAGGAGAGGCAAGCGGUACUCAGUGGGUAGGGGUAAAAUCCGUUGAUCCAUUGAAGACCACCAGUGGCGAAGGCGGCUUGCCAGAACGCGCUCGACGGUGAGGGAUGAAAGCUGGGGGAGCAAACCGG